UUUGACCGCUGUUGAUGAAGAUUGUGAGGAGGGAGACCAGAAGAUAAUGGACAACGAUACAGCAGAAGGGCCUGGUAAGCUCCGUUUAGUUGCAUUACCCGGGGAGACCUGAGGCAUGUUUCCAAGGGCUGUGGCUGCCUGUAGCCAUGGGAUCUCCAACUGCAUGCCAGAGUAAUGGAGAGACUUUGACAGCUCAGGUCAGCACAGUGCCUGCAGCUGCCACUCAUCUUUCCUAUAUAUGUAUAUCAGGCCUGGAGUUGAGCUCUGUCUACCUGUGAGGCUAUUGUUCUGUGGUAUUUACAACAAAUGUUUCUUCUGCAGGUUACACUUGAGCUUAUUUCUUGGAAGAGUCUGAGAAGACGGCCUGUCAGGCUCCUAACACUAAGGGCCAUGUAACCAGUGAAGCAGCCAUUAUAUAUGAUUUGGUCUACACUUGUUGGAAAAAUUCCACAAGAGGAUCUGGAAGCUAGCAGAAGUUUUUGGCUUGUACAUUGCCAGGCAGCCAUUGGAAUCAGAGCUGCAGUCAGAUUAAGGCCAGCCUGGCCUACAUUGAGAAACCUCAUUUUGGGAAAGUGAAAUGCUUUGUCAAUUAACAUGCAGUUGGUUCAAUAAAGACUUUUGGAAAGUGUCCUCUCUGUAACUG
This 643-nucleotide long non-coding RNA is filed under the name Mus spicilegus (steppe mouse). RNAcentral's name for it is "lncRNA (ENSMSIG00000009441.1)". The stretch from base 112 to 240 matches the Rfam family "Small nucleolar RNA SNORA44". Lineage: Eukaryota; Metazoa; Chordata; Mammalia; Rodentia; Muridae. The record is from RNAcentral.